UGCGGGGUAGAGCAGAGGCAGCUCGUCGGGCUCAUAACCCGGAGGUCGCAGGUUCGAAUCCUGUCCCCGCUAUCA
This 75-nucleotide transfer RNA is filed under the name Chloroflexota bacterium. RNAcentral describes it as "Chloroflexi bacterium tRNA-Met". It matches the Rfam family "tRNA". Rfam says of the family: Transfer RNA (tRNA) molecules are approximately 80 nucleotides in length. Their secondary structure includes four short double-helical elements and three loops (D, anti-codon, and T loops). Lineage: Bacteria; Bacillati; Chloroflexota. The record is from RNAcentral.